RNAcentral lists this ribosomal RNA (434 nucleotides) under uncultured bacterium. RNAcentral describes it as "partial 16S ribosomal RNA". It matches the Rfam family "Bacterial small subunit ribosomal RNA", at positions 29 to 507 of the family's 1533-position model. The record is from RNAcentral.
AGCGAACGCUGGCGGCAGGCCUAACACAUGCAAGUCGAACGAACCUUUCGGGGUUAGUGGCGGACGGGUGAGUAACACGUGGGAACGUGCCUUUAGGUUCGGAAUAACUCAGGGAAACUUGUGCUAAUACCGAAUGUGCCCUUCGAGGGAAAGAUUUAUCGCCUUUAGAGCGGCCCGCGUCUGAUUAGCUAGUUGGUUGAGGUAAUGGCUCACCAAGGCGACGAUCAGUAGCUGGUCUGAGAGGAUGAUCAGCCACAUUGGGACUGAGACACGGCCCAAACUCCUACGGGAGGCAGCAGUGGGGAAUCUUGCGCAAUGGGCGAAAGCCUGACGCAGCCAUGCCGCGUGAAUGAUGAAGGUCUUAGGAUUGUAAAAUUCUUUCACCGGGGACGAUAAUGACGGUACCCGGAGAAGAAGCCCCGGCUAACUUCGUG